This is a long non-coding RNA of Sapajus apella (tufted capuchin), 4497 nucleotides long. RefSeq lists it as uncharacterized. The record is from RefSeq and is a predicted model, not a curated record. The transcript has 3 exons. NCBI's taxonomy places the organism in Eukaryota, Metazoa, Chordata, Mammalia, Primates, Cebidae.
AAGUUUUUUUUAACUUAGUUAACAGGUUUUCUCCCCACUUUUCAAAGGCAUCUCAUACCUUAAUUUUGCAGUGAAUUUAAUGAGACAUCUGUCAAAUGAGGCAUCUUAGAUUUAAUGAUUUUGUUAUGUGCCAGGGUUUAACAUGGUUCAGCCUAUCUGGCCUGGAGAAGGGUUUGAUUGUACUGUGAAAGUCAACAGAUCCUGAAGCCACUCAAUAGAAAAACGAUUCCUUAAUUUUGAAAAAGAGAAAGAGAUGUUAUCAGAAUGUCUAAAACAGCCUGGGAAAAUGAAGUCUUUUUUUUUCUUCAAUGUUCCACCUUCUAAACUGAUUCCCUUUAAUCACAGGCAUCUGGUAGAACGCUAGUAAUGAGGGGUUUUGAAUCUGGUCUGAUGUCACUGUGAUUGCAGGGCAAACUGUUUUUUAUACCUAACUUUGGUUUUCUAAAGAUAAUAUAGUUAAACAAAAUCGACCUUGUGGAUUCAUUGGAUAUUUUAGAUAUUUGUAACCUAAGGUGGUAUGACUGACUGACUGGAUUUAUAUGAAACUUCAACUCCGGAAAAUUUUGAUAAAUUGAAACUCAAAGACCUGGAAAGAAUAGACUUUAAUGAUAAUUUGAUUAAAAGACAUUAGUAUAUUUAGGUAACUGUGAAAUAGCAACUUUUUGAAGUUCUGUGAUAUUAUACUUUUUAUCGAGCAUAAUAAUAGUUACUACAUUAAUGAAGUGUUAUUCUUUGGUUUUAGAAUUGGAAUAGUUUUGUUGUGUUACCAUGACUUGGCCUCAUAUACGUUUUGGCAUGUUAAAUGAGAAAAGCGAGGCAUCCAUACUGAAGUAAUCCCCCCAUCCUCACUUGUAUUUGUUACAUUUGAGAUUUUUAUACAUUUUAAAAUGUAUUUAACAAUAAGUAUAAGCCUAGUGGCCUCUUGAGUUUGUGACCUAGAAGUUAUAAUACAAACUCCAUAAAAUAUUUGUAGGUUGCAUAUAUUGUAUGAUUUUGCAGAUAUCAACACUUUAGCAAAACAUAAGCAAAAAAUAUCCAGCAUUCUUGGCAUAUACUUUUCGAACUGGAGCUUGGCUAAAAGUAAAUUAGCGUGGCUUCUUGUUUGUGAAAGCAUGCAGUUGAAGAUUGAAUGAAAUUUGAAAUAUUUGGUUUUGGACCAUUUCAAUAAUGAGUGAAAAAUCUAAUUAGAAGGUGAAAAUUGAGAGAAUUUGAAUUGGUUGUAAUUUUUUAAAAGUUUUUUUCCCUCACAUUCUGUUUGAGGAAGAGAUUUGUAUUUCUUGCUUUUUGUUUCUUCUGAUUCAGACAUCUGAGGAAGAGCAGGUGGAGAAUGAAUCUUUUCAUAUACCUGCCUCAGUUAAUAAUGUGUUAGAGUGUUUGGGCUUUCUUUUCAAAUACCAGGCAUGUUUUUAAAAUACAGCAAGAGUUUGGCUGGUGUGGUGGUGGUGGGGUCAAAGUAACUCUUUUUUUCAAAAACAGAACUUUGGGAAAGAAUUUUUUCCUUUUAUCUCACACUGUGAGAGAAAAUGUACUGCUUUUUAGAGAAACUAAUCUGAGAGUUGGGAAACUUGGCAUGACUUUGGGCAUUCAUUUUAACCUACCCUGGGCUUUGAUUUCCUCAUCUGUAAAACGAUGGGGUUGGAGUAGAGUAAGUCCAAGAUCUCUUUCAACUCAUAACAUUCUGAGGCUUUAUUAGAGAGCAUGUUUUUUUUGAAGGGCCUUAAAGGUGGUAGUUGUUUUAAGUUCUGUAAGACAUGGCUAUGGGCUUAAAACUGUCAGAUCCCUGCCUUUUCUUUUGGGCUUGGACCUAAUGUACACAAGUCAGCUGGAGGUUGCCAACCAACCAAAGCAGACCUCCUCUUUGGUGUAGAUUAGGACAGGAAUCGAUGUUUGAUGACCUGUUCCCUGCUGUUCCUGCUCCCAAAGUAGAAUUCAGCAUGCCAGAGAUGAAUUUAAAGAACUACAUCCUCUUUUAAGUUAAAGUGAAAUUCUUACAUUGACUUAGCAGGAUACCUUCAUAGUCUAGUUCUUCAAGUUUAAUAACUAAUGGAGGGAUGCAAAUGUGGAAAAUUUACUGGCUACUUGGCUUUAUUCAUGGUGAGCUAUGUGCUUGCAUACCAGUAUCUAGAGUCAGUAGAACAAAAAACAUUUUAAUAAAAUGGAAUUUUUGCAGUUACUUUGGUUAGGUAAUAGAAUUUUGGAUCUCGUAGAGAUAAUUUAGUCCAACAUCUGUAUUUUUAUAGAUGAGAAAAGUAAACCUGUGAGGUAAAAUAUCUGGUCUAGAAUCAUUGGUCAAGUCCGUUUCAGAGUUAGGAACACAGCUUAGGAUUUCGAUGAUCUCUGUCCAGUGUUCUUUUUCCCUGUACUGUGAAUCUGUAUGCUUACUGUCUUUGGUGGUUCUUUAAUAUUAAUGCUAUUAAAAAUGAAAGUUAAAGAAAUUGUGUGCUUUACACAGUUGGUGGUUUCUCUAUUCAAGGUUUUUUUCUAGUUCUUUUCAUUCUAAUCAGUGCUUUUGAGGGGUUGUAUAUCACUUUGACAGAUUGUAAGAAAGGAACUUCUGAUGAACAGGUGGGUAUUUUAAUUGCACAGAGGGAAAUUAGAUUUCAUCAGUGAUGUUACCUUUGUGGGAUGCAUGAUAGAACUAUUGACAGUUGGCAGAGAAGAGGUGCAUUGUUAGAAAAUCAAUGUUCUUAAUUCAUUCAGUACUUUGAUGUUGAAAUGGUUAAAAUAAUAAAAAUUGGAAAAAAAUCAUUGAAUUAAAAAAAUAAUUUAGGAGAAAAAGUUAAGCAUGAAUUUUGAAAAAAAUUUCCCUUUAUAUAUGUAUGUAUUAAAAAGAUUCAGCAUUAUAUUUGAAUUAUUUUUAAAAAGCUGUUAUGUCAAAAUUAAUUGCAACUUAGCUUAUUUUUUAGUACAUGUACACAGUUCUGCCUUUCUGUGACAUAAAAGGAAACAAUUUGUUCAAUAAUUUUUGGGCUUUUGUUGUUUGCUGAUUUGGAAGUCUUUAUCAUGAAAUAUGCCAUUGCUUUGAAUACUUUCUCUCUUUCUCAGAGAAAGAAAUAUCCUGCUCUCAUUAGCAAAAAGAUAGUUUGUGAACUGUGGAAACAAAUAUUUCCAGCUAAUUUAGGGGAUGACAGAUUUCCUUUUAUUCUCAGUUUCAUUUUAAUUUAAUUAUUUACCUUAAGCAAAAGUUUAGCUUCACUUCUGUGAGAGUUAACCUACUAAGACAAUUAAUUCUUCAAAGAUUACUGUUCAUUUUUAAAUGAGUAAAGAAACUUAAAAGUAUGUAAGUACACAAGGGUAAAAAUAUAUUACGUCUGUCAUAUUGAGUAUUUGCUCCAGAUGCUGAAGCAGAGAAAUUUCUCUUGAUGGUCUCUUAGAGAGGUGGUAUGGCUGGCGUGCAGCUGACAUUCAGUUUUAAGUAACAAGGAACUCGCCUGUAUAAACUCUGCUAUAAUUGGCAGACUUAUUCUUCCUUACGCGCGUGUACACAUGCUAUAUAUAUAGAUGUAUAUAUAUAUAGAUGUAUAGAUAUACGUAUAUACACGUAUAUCUAUGUAUACAUAGAGACUCUGUCUCAAAAAAAAAUUAAAGCAGUGACAUAAAGCAUUGAUUUCUGUUUUCUGAAUUUGAACUUUGACUAAUUUAUUUUGCAUUAGGCAGCAGUCUCAGCUGCUUAUUUAUACUGAACAGACUCACUGAACUUUUUUCACCUUCUGGAGAAAUUCUGGGGCUACCCAGAAUUGCCUGCUCUAUGUGUCUAUGAUAUCUAUAGAUAUAUAGAACAGGCAAGGGAUAUGAACAAGUCACAAUGAGUUACCAAUUGAAGUUCAACAAAAUUAAACUGCAGAUUUUUUUAAAUUGAGACUUUUCCCCCCCAGGAUUAGUUAUCCUACUCAACCCCUCCCAUCCAUAAAUACAACUACUACCUCUCAUCAUAUCCUACCUCAACACUCAAUGGAGAACGUGUGUGUGUGUGUGUGUGUACACUUGGCCGGCCAGUAUUUUAUAGUUUUCUAUGUGUAAAAAUUUAAUCCAUUGUUUAAGAUAGGAAGGAGAGACCGGGCGUGGUGACUCACACCUGUAAACCCAGCACUUUGGGAGGCCGAGGUGGGUGGAUCACCUGAGGUCAGGAGUUUGAUACCAACGUGACCAACAUGGUGAAACCCCAUCUCUACUAAAAAUACAAAUAAUAGUUGGUCAUGGUGAUGGGUGGCUGUAUUCCCAGUGACUUGGAAGGCUGAGGCAGGAGAAUCGCUUGAAUUGAGCUGAGAUCAAGCCAUUUUACUCCAGCCUGGGUGACAGAGUGAGACUCUGUCUUAAAAAAAAGAUAGGAAGGAGGAAAAACAACAAAUUAUUUCCACAUUUUUAAAUGAGUAAGUGUAUUCUUUCUUCAUUGAUUUAAAAUGCCCCUUUUGGCGGGUAUGUAGCACACACCUGUAAUUCCCACAGUUUGGGAGGCCAAGGCAGUAGGAUUAUUUGUGCCCAGGAGUUCAAGACCAG